Molecule: ribosomal RNA, 253 nt
Filed under: uncultured bacterium
Lineage: Bacteria
Description: partial 16S ribosomal RNA
Rfam family: Bacterial small subunit ribosomal RNA
Source: RNAcentral
UACGUAGGGGGCAAGCGUUGUUCGGAAUUACUGGGCGUAAAGGGCUCGUAGGCGGCCAACUAAGUCGGACGUGAAAUCCCCAGGCUCAACUUGGGAACUGCGUCCGAUACUGGAUGGCUUGAGUUUGGGAGAGGGAUGCGGAAUUCCAGGUGUAGCGGUGAAAUGCGUAGAUAUCUGGAGGAAUACCGGUGGCGAAGGCGGCAUCCUGGACCGAGAUUGACACUGAUGAGCGAAAGCCAGGGGAGCAAACGGG